AUCGGACUGCUGUCUGAGUUUGUUUCCAAUUCAUCCACUUUUUUUGCACUAUUUGCAAAAUGUAUGACGUAACUAACUCGACAGUGGCGAUUGAUUUGUGUAGUUGGUCGUAACCAGAAAAGGCAGUGAAAAUGACACACUUCUCCUUUCACAUUUUAAUUACGACCAAAAGGCUUUGUUUGAAAACGUAGCCUGACAACUCCGUAGCUGAACUAUCUGUAGAAUUUCACCCAGCAAUUAACAUGUUGACACAUCCUGAAAGAGAGAGAGACUCUGGACUCUGGAGCAGACACACCUGAGAGGCAUUAUUCAACCCUUGGUUGUUAUUUACAUAAACAUGUCACAGGAAAGUUGGUUGUGAUUGAUAAUGGAGAAGUGCCAGAGGAAAAGGCACAAAGCAUCUGGUAUUUGGUUGAGUGGUGAGGUCACUGGGGCCAUUUAGAGUCUAAAAUGGGAGUCCGGUUUUGUGUGAACUCGACUGACCUUGCUUAAGUACAGAGAACUGGUUUCUGGCUGUAAUGCUAAGGACCUGAAGUUAACAGCGUGGCGGAUGCUCUACAUUGCAUUCUGUCAAACUGCCUUGCCAUUGCCACAACCUGGACUGGGGCAGAGCAUAAGGCCUGUUUGAGGGACUUGUUUCUGAAGACCAUUCUUCACAAAGCCAUUCGGAAGAACCCAGGAUGCCAUGGAUAAGGGGGUCCAGAUUCAGGUCACCCUUUAGCUGAAAGGGGCCUCCGAUUGUGAAGGCGGGAGAAGGUGGCGGACAGGGGAGAGGGAUCCGCUGCAGUGAGGGUCAGCAUCAAGUCUCGGACCAUUUAUCUCAAAACCAGCCUCUACCCCCAAGCCACAAGACUGAUCCAACAGCUGAACCCUGGACUGACUCCUGCACCCUACCACACACUUACCAUUUAUUCAUAUUCUGUACACACUUAAAUCACUUUAGUCUACCAGACCAAUGAAAUAGUUAUGUCACCUAACUGCACUACGUAGAUAUACUUUCAUUAUAAUUCUAUGCUGAUACUGCACUGUAGUUAUUAGGCCUAAGCACAUGGGCAAAAAAAUGUCCAUACUAUAUGAAUGUAGGCUAUUUUGGUUUUAAUCUUAAGGCUAUUUUGGUUUGAUCUUAUUCUUAUUUACAUCUUAUUUUCUUUGAUCUGCAUGCUUCUUUUGCACUUGUUUUUAUUGUUUUAUUGUUAGUACAUCACAUAGUAAAGGAACUAUAACACAUUGAUUACUGUCAGUUUUGUCGCCAUUGCGCUGUGUGAGAAGCCUAUCUAUAUUAUUAUUCUUUCAAAUGGACAUGGCAUCCAAUCUAUCUUAAAUAAUAAAAGUAAAUAAAUAAAUAAGUGGAGAAAGGGAGUAGGCAUGCCGCUGGCUUGAUGCUGAAAAAGUGCCGCGCCUCCGGCUCUCAGCUGUAGUGUCGCCGGGCGGGUGAAGGGCGG
Molecule: long non-coding RNA, 1442 nt
Filed under: Salmo salar (Atlantic salmon)
Lineage: Eukaryota; Metazoa; Chordata; Actinopteri; Salmoniformes; Salmonidae
Description: lncRNA (ENSSSAG00000089377.1)
Source: RNAcentral